AUUGAACGCUGGCGGCAUGCCUUACACAUGCAAGUCGAACGGCAGCGCGGGGCAACCUGGCGGCGAGUGGCGAACGGGUGAGUAAAAUAUCGGAACAUACCCUAGAGUGGGGGAUAACGUAGCGAAAGUUACGCUAAUACCGCAUACGCACUAAGGUGGAAAGUGGGGGAUCUUCGGACCUCAUGCUCAUGGAGUGGCCGAUAUCUGAUUAGCUAGUUGGUGAGGUAAAGGCUCACCAAGGCGACGAUCAGUAGCUGGUUUGAGAGAACGACCAGCCACACUGGAACUGAGACACGGUCCAGACUCCUACGGGAGGCAGCAGUGGGGAAUUUUGGACAAUGGGGGCAACCCUGAUCCAGCAACGCCGCGUGAGUGAAGAAGGCCUUC
Molecule: ribosomal RNA, 387 nt
Filed under: uncultured bacterium
Lineage: Bacteria
Description: bacterial SSU rRNA
Rfam family: Bacterial small subunit ribosomal RNA
Source: RNAcentral